AAAAAUAUUACAGUGUAACUCAAGAAAGAUAUCCCAAAUCCAUGUGUGUUAUAGUUUUUGACAUAGUUCUUACAUUUUUCAAAGGGUAUCCCUUUUAUAUACAGUAAUAAAAAUUUUUGAUAAAUUUUUUGCUUUUAUAUCAAUGAUAAUAUUACGAUAUAUAUUUAAUGUAAUAUUUUUAUUUUUUAUAUACUAAAUUUACUUAUUAUUUAUUGAAUUUUAUAUUUACUUAUUCUAAUAUUACGAUAAAUAUUUUAUAUAAUAUUUCUAUUUUUUAUAUUGUGUAAUUAUAUAUUUACUUAUUCUAAUUUUCUUGCUUUUAUACCAAAUGAUAAUAUUAUGAUAGAUUUUUAACGUAAUAUUUAUGUUUCUUAUAUUGUAUAUUUACUUAUUAUUAAUUUUUUCUUAUUGUAUAUUUACAUAUUAUUGUUUAAUAUAAUAUUUCUAUUUUUUUAUUUUGUAUUUUUACUUAUUAUUUAUUUUUCCUUAUAUUGUAUAUUUACUUAUUAUUUUAUUCUGUUUUUAGUAACAAUGCCACGUGUCAUCUAUCGGAAUAUGUAUUUUUCGCUGAUAUGGACGCUCUACGGAGCUUCAAAAUGUUUUUUUAUUAGUAUAGACUAGGGAUUAACCCGGGCUACGCCCGGGAUUUUUAUUUUUUUUCUAAUUUAAGUUGAUAAAUUAUUUAUAUUUAGGUUAUGAUAUAUAUUUAUAUAAAUUUUAAGAUGCAUGUCAUAAUUAAAAUUUAUUUUUAAAUUUUAACACGUUAAAUUAACAUAUUUUUUACUAUUUAAAUAUUUUUUGUAAUUUUGUUGGCUAUCUAGUUAUCAUAUUUAGCAAAACUAUAUGUUGAGUGUUGAAAUAAAUUUUUUUGAUAUUUAAUUAAACUACAGAGUAUUUUCUGAUCGAUCACAUGCUCAACA
Molecule: long non-coding RNA, 920 nt
Filed under: Brassica rapa (field mustard)
Lineage: Eukaryota; Viridiplantae; Streptophyta; Magnoliopsida; Brassicales; Brassicaceae
Description: long non-coding RNA (BRAP_LNC006655)
Source: RNAcentral